Acipenser ruthenus (sterlet) is the source of this 3066-nucleotide long non-coding RNA. RefSeq lists it as uncharacterized. Lineage: Eukaryota; Metazoa; Chordata; Actinopteri; Acipenseriformes; Acipenseridae. The record is from RefSeq and is a predicted model, not a curated record. The transcript has 3 exons.
GGGUAUCCACAGAUAGCACCAAGCAUCCUGUCUUCUAAAUGUGAACGCUAACAUGUUGUGGCACUAGCCACACAAGUGUUUAAAUAAACACUCCCUUUAGUUAAAAUGCCUGGCCAGGUAACUUCUUAAUUAUUGUAUCUAUUUAAUUAAGGAUUCCCCUUUAAGAAGGCUGAACUCCCAUGAGCCUUUGUUCUUUUUUAAACAGGUAGAGGGUUGAAGGGAGGCAGGUUUUGUGUUCUGGGUUCCUCCAUUUUGUGUAUGGCAGUGUGGUUUGUGUGCAGGUUCUGAAUGGGUUCCAGUUGACUUUCAGGAUUUUAUUUACAAGAAAAUUAUAUUAAAUAAGAACUAUACCUACCUUGGAGCAUCUCUUGGACAACUUGUUGCUGUUGGACUGCCACUGGAACUACAGAAUAAGCAUCAACAAACAAACAAACAGUCAGGUCUGUGAGGAUGAGAAGGUCUCCACAGUCUGGAGUCUGAUCUCUGACAGCCUCAACAUACCUGUCAAUCAACAGGGACUCCUCUACAAAGGCAAGGCGCUGGCAGGUAGGCUGAACAGCACAGCACAGCACAGCACAGCACAGCUCACCCCUCCUCUCACCCCUCGCCUCGCCCCUCCUCUCACCCCUCGCCUCACCCCUCCUCUCACUCCUCGCCUCACCCCGGGUCAGUGUGGCACAGCCUGCCUGCUCUUCUAAACAAACACUUCAGCCCUGCCGACGCAGUGAGAGUCUGGAGCAGCUACACAAGGUGAUGAAGUGACACUUUGAAUAUGGGGCCUGAUGAGAGAAGUAUCCUUUUCAUGUGGUUUUGGUUUUGCCGUUGUGAGCAGGUGUGGGAGACAGCACCGUGUCUGCAUGUGAAAUAACAAAGUCAUCGCAGUGGAGGGACUCUCUGAAGGCUGCUGUUUGUGGAUUUGUCUUGUAAUGUGAGUGAUCUACUGUACUGUGAUGCCACUGUCUGUACGCACGCUGCACUGCAGGGGAGACACCGCUGGCAUUCACAGGGCAUGCUUGUUCAUUUAAAGCACGCUGCACUGCAGGGGAGACACCAACCUUCUGGACAAAGCCAAAACAGAUAGAGGAGUGACCAAAGUGAUCCUAUCAUUCGGAAUCAACAACAAGGACCAGAAAGUCAAAGAGACAGCUAUCAAAAACCUACAAAGGAUGUACAGGUCAGCAAAGACAACCUUCCCAACUGCAGAAAUCAAAGUGCCACUGGUGAACUUCUCACGAGCACUAGACAUGCAGGCCCAACGGAACUUGGAAGAACUAAACGGAUUCAUCUCAGCCAACCUACCACACAUACCGCUAUUACCAACUGAGAAAUUUCAAGUAGGCGGAGACAACAUCCACUGGACAACCAACACAGCCAAAGAUAUGCUCCAGCACUGGUGCCAGCAUUUAAACUAGGAGACCCCACAAGCCCAAAUAUCUCCAGGGAGGGGGCAUCCAACAUAGUCAAUCUAUGUAAAUACUUCACACCAACAGAGUCAAAACAGCCUUUUGAGCAAAGGCCUCUCCUUCAUACCCACACCGCAAACUAAAGCAACACAGAAGCAGACACUGCGAGCAGAAACACAAGACUACCAUAGGAGGCUAAAAAUCGCAACCUAUUUUACUGCAUUUAAUCCUGUACUUUAGAGUACUGUAAUCUGUCAAGUGUCAUUUAAUCUGUGGUAUUUUGUAUUUAAUUAUAUCCUGAUGUAACUAUCACUGACACUGUUAUCUGCUCCGUUAUUGAAUCGUAUUUUGUCAUAUACUUGUACUUGCUAGAACCAAAGUCAUUGUAUUUUAUCUUGCUCUUAAUUGUAUUAAUACUUGUACUGUGAUUCUUGAAAUGUUUUUUUGUUUACGACUGUAAGGUUGCCCUGGAUAAGGGCAUCUGCUGAGAAAUAAAUAAUAAUCAAUCAAUCAAUACCAGAGCUGCAACCAAGAUUUUACAAUCCAAGAGAAAACAGCUGGGCAAAUGAGUCAUCAGUGCUCCUUCUAACAGUUACCCAAAUCAAGAUUUUACAAGAUUACACCACUGAGGACAGCGGACUGCUUAUCUGAUCUUGUGUUUGCUCAUGUAUACUGUCUUUAUUUUUCAGUAUAAAUCUGAGAUGAAUUGAUUGGUUAUCUCUCAAAGAGUUAAUGAAGGUCAGGAAGGAAACCGGUUCAUUAAAAAUGGGCUGAACUGAAGCUUUUUAAAUGUUUAUUGUUUGGUCUGGAGCAAACUCCUUCCUUAUGCCUUGUGGCAGAUGCACUUCAUUGGGAUCAGUGAGAGGGUGUAUUGUGAACUGGAGCUCCUCUGAGGUGAAGCACCAGAGCAGCAGCUGAUGUCCAGUCUCCCUGGUAACCUGACACAGUGCACAGCCUCCCUGCUUGACACAGUGCACAGACUCCCUAUCUGACACAGUGCACAGUCUCCCUGGCAACCUGACACAGUGCACAGACGCCCUGCCUGACACAGUGCACAGACUCGCUGGUAACCUGACACAGUGCACAGUCUCCCUGGCAACCUGACACAGUGCACAGACUCGCUGGUAACCUGACACAGUGCACAGACUCGCUGCCUGACACAGUGCACAGUCUCCCUGGCAACCUGACACAGUGCACAGACUCGCUGGUAACCUGACACAGUGCACAGACUCGCUGGUAACCUGACACAGUGCACAGUCUCCCUGGCAACCUGACACAGUGCACAGACGCCCUGCCUGACACAGUGCACAGUCUCCCUGGUAACCUGACACAGUGCACAGACGCCCUGCCUGACACAGUGCACAGACUCCCUGCCUGGCACAGUGCACAGACUCGCUGGUAACCUGACACGGUGCACAGACUUGCUGGUAACCUGACACAGUGCACAGACGCCCUGUCUGACACAGUGCACAGACUCGCUGGUAACCUGACACAGUGCACAGAGUCCCUGCCUGCCACAGUGCACAGACUCGCUGGUAACCUGACACAGUGCACAGACUCGCUGGUAACCUGACACAGUGCACAGUAUCCCUGCCUGACACAGUGCACAGAGUCCCUGCCUGCCACAGUGCACAGUCUCCCUGGCAACCUGACACAGUGCACA